AGCGGCGGACGGGUGAGUAACGCGUGGGUAACCUGCCUCAUACAGGGGGAUAACAGUUGGAAACGGCUGCUAAUACCGCAUAAGCGCACAGUACCGCAUGGUACGGUGUGAAAAACUCCGGUGGUAUGAGAUGGACCCGCGUCUGAUUAGGUAGUUGGUGGGGUAACGGCCUACCAAGCCGACGAUCAGUAGCCGACCUGAGAGGGUGACCGGCCACAUUGGGACUGAGACACGGUCCAG
Molecule: ribosomal RNA, 240 nt
Filed under: uncultured bacterium
Lineage: Bacteria
Description: partial 16S ribosomal RNA
Rfam family: Bacterial small subunit ribosomal RNA
Source: RNAcentral